Molecule: ribosomal RNA, 497 nt
Filed under: uncultured bacterium
Lineage: Bacteria
Description: partial 16S ribosomal RNA
Rfam family: Bacterial small subunit ribosomal RNA
Source: RNAcentral
GAUGAACGCUGGCGGCGUGCCUAAUACAUGCAAGUCGAGCGAACAGACGAGGAGCUUGCUCCUCUGACGUUAGCGGCGGACGGGUGAGUAACACGUGGAUAACCUACCUAUAAGACUGGGAUAACUUCGGGAAACCGGAGCUAAUACCGGAUAAUAUAUUGAACCGCAUGGUUCAAUAGUGAAAGACGGUUUUGCUGUCACUUAUAGAUGGAUCCGCGCUGCAUUAGCUAGUUGGUAAGGUAACGGCUUACCAAGGCGACGAUGCGUAGCCGACCUGAGAGGGUGAUCGGCCACACUGGAACUGAGACACGGUCCAGACUCCUACGGGAGGCAGCAGUAGGGAAUCUUCCGCAAUGGGCGAAAGCCUGACGGAGCAACGCCGCGUGAGUGAUGAAGGUCUUCGGAUCGUAAAACUCUGUUAUUAGGGAAGAACAUAUGUGUAAGUAACUGUGCACGUCUUGACGGUACCUAAUCAGAAAGCCACGGCUAACUACGUG